UAUUCUUGAACGGCUAGGAUC
Non-coding RNA from Caenorhabditis elegans, 21 nucleotides. The record is from Ensembl. NCBI's taxonomy places the organism in Eukaryota, Metazoa, Nematoda, Chromadorea, Rhabditida, Rhabditidae.